CGGACUUGAAGCUUUUACAAACAACACGCCAUUGUACUCACUUCUUAUUCAGAGACGGGCUGCGCGCUCCGAGCUGCACAGGCAGGCAUUUUUCCCCCGGCUUUGUUUUACAAGGGUGCUGGACCUGGGCAACUAGCUUCUGUCCGCACAACGUUGAUCGAAUGGGGAAGGCACCGGGAGCCAGGGUGAAGACAUUCAGGGAGGCAAAGGAAAUCGGGAAUCCCCUUCUGACCUCCACCCUCCCACCUCCAGCGCUGUGAGAGAGUUUAUCUUCCAGAACCGCUGCUUGGUCAGAUCGGAGCAUCUCCCCAGGGACCAGGAGAAUUUCCUCGCGUAAA
Molecule: long non-coding RNA, 338 nt
Organism: Cervus elaphus (red deer)
Lineage: Eukaryota; Metazoa; Chordata; Mammalia; Artiodactyla; Cervidae
Exons: 3
Source: RefSeq, a predicted model, not a curated record